Long non-coding RNA from Sciurus carolinensis (gray squirrel), 1175 nucleotides. RefSeq lists it as uncharacterized. NCBI's taxonomy places the organism in Eukaryota, Metazoa, Chordata, Mammalia, Rodentia, Sciuridae. The record is from RefSeq and is a predicted model, not a curated record. The transcript has 2 exons.
UGCGCUUACACCUGGGGCCAUCCGCCAUGAUCCUCUCGCUUGUGUCUAAAUGCUCGAGUCACCUCCUCCCCCUCCCUCCCUCCCCCUUCCCCCCCACCCCUCCGCCUCCACCCCUCCCCCCUCCCCACCGCACCUGGUUUACGACACUCGCGGCUUUACGACAUCACCUUCCUUACACCUAGAGGCGCUCGCUCUACGGCCGGAACCUUGUUGCUAAGGGCUGGACGGUUUGCGGCAACCUAGGACGCUGCGGAGUUUGAAUUGAGAGGAGAGGGAAAAGUUUUCCUCAGGUGUGGUUGGGUGAGAGACUGGGUCGUUGGGGAUACUGUCGGGACGUGGUCAGAAGGGCGACAGGCUGUCCGAGUGAGAAAGGUGAAGUUGGAGGCUGCGGCGUUCCGCCUCUGAACUAGCCACACCCGCCGCGGCUGUCUAGGACGCAGACGGGUCUGGCUGCUGCUGCUCUGGACCCUGUGCCCUCAGAGCGGCCCCUCUGAGCGUCGCGAGCGUCUGUCGGCCCUCCCUCUUCCUGAAGGUUGGGCUCGGCUCCCACGCCUCGUUCGUCCGCCCUGCGCACUCCGAGGCCAGGGAGAGGGUCGUGCUCUGGGCAACCCCAGGGAGUUCCCAUGAUUCGGGGAAGGGCAGGCUCGGGGAAUAGUGAGCGAGCGAUUGGGGAACUCGGCCUUGGACGGCGAGGACACGCGGCGGCACGAAAGCGGCUACCUGACCCGCUGGGUCCUGACUCCCUUCCCUCACAGGGACGCACGGUUUUCCCCCUAGAGAACCAGGAUGGGAAGUGACUUCAGUUAGGUCGAACUUCAGCUGGACCGAAAGAGACGAGAAGUUCCGCUUGCAGUAAAGCGGAAUGAGUAAUACCCACACAGUGCCUGUCUCACUUCCUCAUCCGCGCCGGCUCUCACCUGCUGUCACCUUGGCCUCCCCCGCCCCCUGCCUUCCUCUCCGCCCUCCCCGCUUUCCUCUCGGGUAGACCGCCGGACUUGUAGGCGUCGCGACUUAAGAGUUCAGGGCCUACUCCUGUGCAGGAAGGUGGUCUGAACUCAGAAGAGAUAUGAGGAGACAGAUAAGCACCUGCCAUAAACGUUCCAUUCCAUAGUGCUUAGGGAAAAAAAUCCUACCCCCAAAGUGUUAUUCAAUAAAGCUUGUAUUGUUCUGUGUUU